GUGCUCACUUGGGCAGCACAUAUAUUAAAAUUGGAAUGAUCCAGAGAAGAUUAGCAUGGCCCCUGAGCUAGGAUGACAUGAAAAUUUGUGAAGCAUUUCAUAUUUUU
RNAcentral lists this small nuclear RNA (107 nucleotides) under Notamacropus eugenii (tammar wallaby). The record is from RNAcentral. Lineage: Eukaryota; Metazoa; Chordata; Mammalia; Diprotodontia; Macropodidae.